UACGUCGGGUGCGAGCGUUAAUCGGAAUUACUGGGCGUAAAGUGUGCGCAGGCGGCCGCGCAAGUCGAGUGUGAAAGCCCCGAGCUUAACUUGGGAAUUGCGCUCGAAACUACGUGGCUGGAGUGUGGCAGAGGAAGGUGGAAUUCCACGUGUAGCGGUGAAAUGCGUAGAGAUGUGGAGGAACACCAAUGGCGAAGGCAGCCUUCUGGGCCAACACUGACGCUCAUGCACGAAAGCGUGGGGAGCAAACAGG
RNAcentral lists this ribosomal RNA (253 nucleotides) under uncultured bacterium. RNAcentral describes it as "partial 16S ribosomal RNA". It matches the Rfam family "Bacterial small subunit ribosomal RNA", at positions 524 to 776 of the family's 1533-position model. The record is from RNAcentral.